AUGUCCCCUGUAGCCAAUCUAAUAAAAUGGUUAGUUAUACAUGUCAUGUCAUUAAUGUGUGGUCCAGCUUCUCUCACAAAGGAUGUUAGAACCCAUACAGCUCACUGUAAAUCUACAAACCGCUUUUUUUCCCUCUCCCCUUCAACUAAACAAAUUUUUGAUGUGAUAUCUCUUAUAGCCCCGCCUAUAUCGUCCUAUUAUAGUUUAUUCAUAGUAUAUACCGCAACAACACUAUCUGCAUCUCCCAGUGCAGACAUUGUCGAAGGAAGGGGGAGAGGUGUUUGGAGCCUUGUAGUGACUCUUGAAAGGAAAGAGGAGAGAGAAAGGCUGGGACAUAAAUGA
Molecule: ribosomal RNA, 342 nt
Filed under: Triticum aestivum (bread wheat)
Lineage: Eukaryota; Viridiplantae; Streptophyta; Magnoliopsida; Poales; Poaceae
Description: partial small subunit ribosomal RNA
Source: RNAcentral